GAUACUAGGUGCAGGGGAGUAUUUUUCUGUGCCGUAGCUAACGCGUUAAGUAUCCCGCCUGGGGAGUACGGUCGCAAGGCUGAAACUCAAAGAAAUUGACGGGGGCCCGCACAAGCGGUGGAGUAUGUGGUUUAAUUCGAUGCAACGCGAAGAACCUUACCCAGGCUUGACAUCCAGGGAACCUGACAGAGAUGUUGGGGUGCUCUUCGGAGAGCCCUGAGACAGGUGCUGCAUGGCUGUCGUCAGCUCGUGCCGUGAGGUGUUGGGUUUAGUCCCGCAACGAGCGCAACCCCUGUUCUUAGUUGCCAGCAGGUGAAGCUGGGCACUCUAGGGAGACCGCUUCGGUUAACGGAGAGGAAGGUGGGGACGACGUCAAGUCAUCAUGGCCCUUACGCCUGGGGCUACACACGUACUACAAUGGUAUAUACAAAGGGUUGCGAGACCGCGAGGUUAAGCUAAUCCCAGAAACUAUAUCUCAGUUCGGAUUGGAGUCUGCAACUCGACUCCAUGAAGUCGGAAUCGCUAGUAAUUCCAGAUCAGCAUGCU
This 546-nucleotide ribosomal RNA is filed under the name uncultured bacterium. RNAcentral's name for it is "bacterial SSU rRNA". It matches the Rfam family "Bacterial small subunit ribosomal RNA", at positions 812 to 1358 of the family's 1533-position model. The record is from RNAcentral.